This 253-nucleotide ribosomal RNA is filed under the name uncultured bacterium. RNAcentral's name for it is "partial 16S ribosomal RNA". It matches the Rfam family "Bacterial small subunit ribosomal RNA", at positions 524 to 776 of the family's 1533-position model. The record is from RNAcentral.
UACGAGGGGUGCAAGCGUUGCUCGGAAUUAUUGGGCGUAAAGGGUAUGUAGGUGGUCUCAUUUGUCCGGGGUGAAAGCCUUGAGCUUAACUCAAGAAGUGCCUCGGAAACGGUGAGACUAGAGUCUUGGAGAGGGUCGUGGAAUUCCCGGUGUAGCGGUGAAAUGCGUAGAGAUCGGGAAGAACACCCGUGGCGAAGGCGACGUGCUGGGCUGUUUCUGACGCUGAGAUGCGAAAGUGUGGGGAGCAAACGGG